GACGAACGCUGGCGGCGUGCCUAAUACAUGCAAGUUGAGCGAUGAAGAUUGGUGCUUGCCCCAAUUUGAAGAGCAGCGAACGGGUGAGUAACGCGUGGGGAAUCUGCCUUUGAGCGGGGGACAACAUUUGGAAACGAAUGCUAAUACCGCAUAAUAACUUUAAACAUAAGUUUUAAGUUUGAAAGAUGCAAUUGCAUCACUCAAAGAUGAUCCCGCGUUGUAUUAGCUAGUUGGUGAGGUAAAGGCUCACCAAGGCGAUGAUACAUAGCCGACCUGAGAGGGUGAUCGGCCACAUUGGGACUGAGACACGGCCCAAACUCCUACGGGAGGCAGCAGUAGGGAAUCUUCGGCAAUGGACGAAAGUCUGACCGAGCAACGCCGCGGGAGUGAAGAAGGGUUUCGGAUCGUAAAACUCUGUUGGUAGAGAAGAACGUUGGUGAGAGUGGAAAGCUCAUCAAGUGACGGUAACUACCCAGAAAGGGACGGCUAACUACGUG
This 497-nucleotide ribosomal RNA is filed under the name uncultured bacterium. Its description in RNAcentral is "partial 16S ribosomal RNA". It matches the Rfam family "Bacterial small subunit ribosomal RNA", at positions 28 to 507 of the family's 1533-position model. The record is from RNAcentral.